RNAcentral lists this ribosomal RNA (497 nucleotides) under uncultured bacterium. RNAcentral's name for it is "partial 16S ribosomal RNA". It matches the Rfam family "Bacterial small subunit ribosomal RNA", at positions 28 to 507 of the family's 1533-position model. The record is from RNAcentral.
GAUGAACGCUGGCGGCGUGCCUAAUACAUGCAAGUCGAGCGAACAGACGAGGAGCUUGCUCCUCUGACGUUAGCGGCGGACGGGUGAGUAACACGUGGAUAACCUACCUAUAAGACUGGGAUAACUUAGGGAAACCGGAGCUAAUACCGGAUAAUAUAUUGAAUCGCAUGGUUCAAUAGUGAAAGACGGUUUUGCUGUCCCCUCUAGAUGGCUCCGCGCCGCAUUAGCUAGUUGGUAAGGUAACGGCUUCCCAAGGCGAGGAUGGGUAGCCGACCUGAGAGGGGGUACGGCCACACAGAGACUGAGACGCGGUCCAGACUCCUACGGGAGGCAGCAGUAGGGAAUCGUGCGCGAUGGGCGAAAGCCUGACGGAUCAGCGCCGCGUGGAUGAUGAGGGUCUUCGGAUCGUAAAACGCUGUUAUUAGGGAAGAACAAAUUUGUAAGUAACGAUGCACGUCUUGACGGUACCUAAUCAGAAAGCCACGGCUAACUACGUG